CGGGGGGCAGCAGUGGGGAAUAUUGCGCAAUGGGCGAAAGCCUGACGCAGCGACGCCGCGUGAGGGAUGAAGGUCUUCGGAUUGUAAACCUCUUUCAGCAGGGACGAAGCGAAAGUGACGGUACCUGCAGAAGAAGCACCGGCUAACUACGUGCCAGCAGCCGCGGUAAUACGUAGGGUGCAAGCGUUGUCCGGAUUUAUUGGGCGUAAAGAGCUCGUAGGCGGUUAGACACGUCGGAUGUGAAAACUGGGGGCUCAACCCCCAGCCUGCAUUCGAUACGGUCUGACUAGAGUGUGGUAGGGGUAACUGGAAUUCCUGGUGUAGCGGUGAAAUGCGCAGAUAUCAGGAGGAACACCGAUGGCGAAGGCAGGUUACUGGGCCACCACUGACGCUGAGGAGCGAAAGCGUGGGGAGCAAACAGGAUUAGAUACCCCAGU
This 437-nucleotide ribosomal RNA is filed under the name uncultured Actinomycetales bacterium. RNAcentral's name for it is "bacterial SSU rRNA". It matches the Rfam family "Bacterial small subunit ribosomal RNA", at positions 342 to 791 of the family's 1533-position model. The record is from RNAcentral. Lineage: Bacteria; Bacillati; Actinomycetota; Actinomycetes; Actinomycetales.